RNAcentral lists this ribosomal RNA (404 nucleotides) under uncultured bacterium. Its description in RNAcentral is "bacterial SSU rRNA". It matches the Rfam family "Bacterial small subunit ribosomal RNA", at positions 11 to 417 of the family's 1533-position model. The record is from RNAcentral.
GUUUGAUCCUGGCUCAGAUUGAACGCUGGCGGCAUGCCUUACACAUGCAAGUCGAACGGCAGCACGGACUUCGGUCUGGUGGCGAGUGGCGAACGGGUGAGUAAUGUAUCGGAACGUACCUUUCAGUGGGGGAUAACGUAGCGAAAGUUACGCUAAUACCGCAUAUUCUGUGAGCAGGAAAGCAGGGGAUCGCAAGACCUUGCGCUGAUUGAGCGGCCGAUAUCAGAUUAGCUAGUUGGUGGGGUAAAGGCCUACCAAGGCUACGAUCUGUAGCGGGUCUGAGAGGAUGAUCCGCCACACUGGAACUGAGACACGGUCCAGACUCCUACGGGAGGCAGCAGUGGGGAAUUUUGGACAAUGGGGGCAACCCUGAUCCAGCCAUGCCGCGUGAGUGAAGAAGGCCU